Molecule: long non-coding RNA, 216 nt
Filed under: Elaeis guineensis (African oil palm)
Lineage: Eukaryota; Viridiplantae; Streptophyta; Magnoliopsida; Arecales; Arecaceae
Description: long non-coding RNA (EGUI_LNC009473)
Source: RNAcentral
GUUGGCAUAUGGUUACCGUAUAAUUCAUCCCUUUGAUCCUAAUAUUCAAGGUGACUAAAGGGUUUAACUGUCAAUCCUGAAAAGGUCAUCUACAUUAUAUUUCAACUUUUCAAAUCCAUCACAUGGAUUACCCCAAUAGAGAUUUUACUAAAUUGAAAUACAGUGAUGCAUUAACUCCUACUUAUUCAGAGGGGUCAAUUGCAUCUUGACUCACAC